This 581-nucleotide ribosomal RNA is filed under the name uncultured Bacillota bacterium. Its description in RNAcentral is "bacterial SSU rRNA". It matches the Rfam family "Bacterial small subunit ribosomal RNA", at positions 348 to 920 of the family's 1533-position model. The record is from RNAcentral. Lineage: Bacteria; Bacillati; Bacillota.
AUUGCAGUAGGGAAUCUUCCGCAAUGGACGAAAGUCUGACGGAGCAACGCCGCGUGAGCGAAGAAGGCCUUCGGGUCGUAAAGCUCUGUUGUUAGGGAAGAACAAGUAUCGGAGUAACUGCCGGUACCUUGACGGUACCUAACCAGAAAGCCACGGCUAACUACGUGCCAGCAGCCGCGGUAAUACGUAGGUGGCAAGCGUUGUCCGGAAUUAUUGGGCGUAAAGCGCGCGCAGGUGGUUUCUUAAGUCUGAUGUGAAAGCCCACGGCUCAACCGUGGAGGGUCAUUGGAAACUGGGGAACUUGAGUGCAGAAGAGGAAAGUGGAAUUCCACGUGUAGCGGUGAAAUGCGUAGAGAUGUGGAGGAACACCAGUGGCGAAGGCGACUUUCUGGUCUGUAACUGACACUGAGGCGCGAAAGCGUGGGGAGCAAACAGGAUUAGAUACCCUGGUAGUCCACGCCGUAAACGAUGAGUGCUAAGUGUUAGGGGGUUUCCGCCCCUUAGUGCUGCAGCUAACGCAUUAAGCACUCCGCCUGGGGAGUACGGCCGCAAGGCUGAAACUCAAAGGAAUUGACGGAAUC